RNAcentral lists this ribosomal RNA (75 nucleotides) under Scrippsiella trochoidea. RNAcentral's name for it is "partial Trypanosomatid mitochondrial large subunit ribosomal RNA". The record is from RNAcentral. Lineage: Eukaryota; Dinophyceae; Peridiniales; Peridiniaceae.
AAAGAAAAACCAAAAAAACUAACAACAAAAAGAAGAAAAAACAAAAACACAAAAAAAAAAAACAUGUCUUGCUCG